RNAcentral lists this ribosomal RNA (204 nucleotides) under Syntrophobacterales bacterium CG23_combo_of_CG06-09_8_20_14_all_48_27. RNAcentral's name for it is "partial 23S ribosomal RNA". It matches the Rfam family "Bacterial large subunit ribosomal RNA", at positions 2732 to 2925 of the family's 2925-position model. The record is from RNAcentral. Lineage: Bacteria; Pseudomonadati; Thermodesulfobacteriota; Syntrophobacteria; Syntrophobacterales.
ACGGCAUCGCUGGGUAGCUAAGUUCGGAAGGGAUAACCGCUGAAAGCAUCUAAGCGGGAAGCCCACCUCAAGAUGAGAUAUCCCUCUUGAUGGAGACAUCAAGACUGAAGACCCCUUAUAGACGAUAAGGUUGAUAGGUCAGGUGUGUAAGCACAGUGAUGUGUUGAGCUAACUGAUACUAAUCGGUCGUGAGGCUUGACCAUA